Rhipicephalus sanguineus (brown dog tick) is the source of this 73-nucleotide non-coding RNA. NCBI's taxonomy places the organism in Eukaryota, Metazoa, Arthropoda, Arachnida, Ixodida, Ixodidae. The record is from the annotation of a RefSeq genome assembly.
UCCGUCGUAGCUCAGUUGGUAGAGCGUCGGACUCGCGAUUCGAAGACUGUGGGUUCGGAUCUCACCGACGGAA